Molecule: unclassified non-coding RNA, 257 nt
Filed under: uncultured fungus
Lineage: Eukaryota; Fungi
Description: sequence contains ITS2
Rfam family: 5.8S ribosomal RNA (bases 1-52)
Source: RNAcentral
AACGCACAUUGCGCCCAUUAGUAUUCUAAUGGGCAUGCCUGUUCGAGCGUCAUUACAACCCUCAAGCGCUGUAGUGCUUGGUGUUGGGGCAUCUGCUGCCUGUAGCAGGCCCUGAAAGAUAGUGGCGAGGUCGCUGUGACCCUGAGCGUAGUAGUUUACAACUCGCUUCUGUGGUUCGCAGCGGGUUCUCAGCCGUGAAACCCCAAAAUUUUCACAAGGUUGACCUCGGAUCAGGUAGGAAUACCCGCUGAACUUAA